CUGCCCUGGACAGAAGUCUUUAAAUGCUGGCUUUCAUUCCUAAGUAACCUAAUUUCCGAGGAGCCUGGGGAACAUGAGAAUGACCUGAGAAUGAAUCCAGCAAUUCCAAGUGCAGACCUGCCAGGUGGUAACCUGCAGCAUAGCUGGCAGGACUUGAAGGGGAGGUCGCCUUCCUCAUCCUCCUGCACACUCCCUAGGAAGGGUCUGCAGUUAAUGCCGGGACCACCAACCACAGAACCACAUCCUACUGGAGAAAGAGUCUGCGAGGGCAGCGUGUGUCAUGUGCCUGGCUGGCUCUAAAGCACGGGACCAACAGGACAGGGGAGGAGGCAGGAAGACUGCCAGAUCCCCAAGAACUGAGUGGAUCUAUCCUGAAACAGUGAGUGACAGCAUCUGGAUACAGGUGGACCAGCUUCCGAUAACGAAGGGGGGGGGCACUGACCUGGCCUUAGAAGACAUGGGCACUGGCCUUGGCUCUUCCCACUGACUUGCUACAUAACCUUGAGCAAGCGACCUCCCUGAUCUCCUGCUUCCUUAACUGUGCAUGGGGGAUAAAAGUUCCUAUGGAAUGUGCAAGCUUGUCAAACAAAUGCCUGCAUAAACGAGUUGCAACUGUA
Molecule: long non-coding RNA, 617 nt
Organism: Phacochoerus africanus (Common warthog)
Lineage: Eukaryota; Metazoa; Chordata; Mammalia; Artiodactyla; Suidae
Exons: 2
Source: RefSeq, a predicted model, not a curated record